Molecule: ribosomal RNA, 446 nt
Filed under: uncultured soil bacterium
Lineage: Bacteria
Description: partial 16S ribosomal RNA
Source: RNAcentral
GAAUUCGAUUCGGUGUGACAAGGCCCGGGAACGUAUUCACCGCAGCGUAGCUGAUCUGCGGUUACUAGCGAUUCCGACUUCAUGAAGGCGAGUUGCAGCCUUCAAUCCGAACUGAGAAAAGGUUUGUGAGAUUAGCUUGCCCUCGCGGGUUCGCGACUCGUUGUCCCUCCCAUUGUAGCACGUGUGUAGCCCGGGACGUAAGGGCCAUGCUGACUUGACAUCAUCCCCACCUUCCUCCGGCUUGUCACCGGCGGUCCCGCGUGAGAGAUCUUGCGACCAACACACGGCAAGGGUUGCGCUCGUUGCGGGACUUAACCCAACACCUCACGGCACGAGCUGACGACAGCCAUGCAGCACCUGUCUCUGCGUCCGGUUGCCCGGAACCUUAGUCUCCUAAGUUUGCGCGGGAUGUCAAGCCCCGGUAAGGUUCUUCGCGUUAAUCACUA